GACGAACGCUGGCGGCGUGCUUAACACAUGCAAGUCGAACGAUGAUGCCCAGCUUGCUGGGUGGAUUAGUGGCGAACGGGUGAGUAACACGUGAGUAACCUGCCCCUGACUCUGGGAUAAGCGUUGGAAACGACGUCUAAUACUGGAUAUGAUCGCCGGCCGCAUGGUCUGGUGGUGGAAAGAUUUUUUGGUUGGGGAUGGACUCGCGGCCUAUCAGCUUGUUGGUGAGGUAAUGGCUCACCAAGGCGACGACGGGUAGCCGGCCUGAGAGGGUGACCGGCCACACUGGGACUGAGACACGGCCCAGACUCCUACGGGAGGCAGCAGUGGGGAAUAUUGCACAAUGGGCGAAAGCCUGAUGCAGCAACGCCGCGUGAGGGAUGACGGCCUUCGGGUUGUAAACCUCUUUUAGUAGGGAAGAAGCGAAAGUGACGGUACCUGCAGAAAAAGCACCGGCUAACUACGUGCCAGCAGCCGCCGCCG
This 483-nucleotide ribosomal RNA is filed under the name uncultured bacterium. RNAcentral describes it as "partial 16S ribosomal RNA". It matches the Rfam family "Bacterial small subunit ribosomal RNA", at positions 28 to 523 of the family's 1533-position model. The record is from RNAcentral.